CACAAUAAUAGUUUAUAAGUAGAGGAAUCCUGCUCCCCAAGCUAGGAAGUGGGGCAGCCCAGUGCAGACAUGUGACCCUGGACCUGCAGUUCACUCCAGUAAAACUCAGUACAAAACCUGAGCAUUUCCAUUCACCCUUCCAGGGUCAUCACCAGAAUUCAGUCAUUAAUAAUGAUGGGGAGAGCCCUGUUGUAUUUGCCCACUAGCACUAACCUCUGUUAGUUUCCUUUCGGCGUCACAACUGUACUGACCCUAGGGCUCCCAGGAGUCUUGUGCCACCUGCCCUGUUCUAUGUCUUGCAGACGCAUUUCAUGCAGGCGUUGGCUCAGAGCAGAAAGAGACUACCCUUGUGCCCUGUGGUCCGGGUUGGGAGCAGUCAGCUGCGGGUCUGGACUGUUCUGCUGAUGGGACCUUUUCAAAGUUGCUGGAAUCCAGUUCCCCUCAGGCUGUGCUUGGCAAAUCCCAGUGCCCACCAGUUUCCACAUCCCAUCUGGAGGAAAUCCAGGCCUUGGGACACAGCCAGGUGCUGGAGAAUCCACUAAGCGAUCCCAUGACCAGUGACACAUUCUGGGCAGCAUGGCUACUCUUUGAAUUCUCGGUCGGUGGUCGACUGUAACUUGCAUAGCAAGACUUUGUAUGAUGGUCUGCAGUUCUGCAGUGAUUGCCCCUUUCUCGCCAAAAGAGGCAGUCAGAUAACACAGUGUAGUUAACUGGGAAAGGAGACCUUUUCUAAUUGUUACCAAGUUCAUUUUGGCUACAGUUUUAUCAAGAGUUUCAAAAGUAACAAACAAAAGCAAUGCUCCCUGAGGUUCUUGCAUAUCACAGACUUUAACUGGGACAAUUUGAAGCUGCGUAGCCCGUUGCAAGUAUUUAGUCACUGGUUCUAUGGAAGUUAAAUUGUUCAGGUCACUCCGUAUUCAUAACUGUGUAUCUGGACGAGAUGGUUCUGGGUCCCUUUAUUAUUGUUGUUGAUGAAGUUGUGUAAAAAGCCCCUCAAUUCAAAGGGAGUAAAACCUCAGAAAUGUCAUCUACAGUGUGGAUGCCCUGUGGGUUUGUUAGGGCUGGAGAAUUUGGGACCUAGCUGAGCCUUGAUACAAAGCUGUCUCCUCUCACCUCUGCAGUUCACCUGUGCUGUGAAUUCUGGGGCACUCCAAAUCCCAUAGUGCCACAGAUCGCACAUUUUGGAGCACUAUAGAAUUCAUAGCACCCAACAAAACUGUAUUAUAGAGGAUGAGAUGGGGAAAGCCAGAGUAUCAGGGCCCAGUAGCAGGUGGACCUUGAAUUCCCCAUGAAGGUCAGAGGAAUGGAGAGGGUGGGGACAUCUGAACCCUUUCAAUCCACACUUAGAAUUCCCAACUCCAGCUGGACAGGAGCUCUGCAACUGGUCCUAAUGGUUGCCUUUCCCACAGUCUGCAGAAGCCUGAAACUGAAGGCCUGAUUCUCUACUGCCUUGCACUUACACCUGUACAAAGUGAAUGUAGAACACUGCCAUUUUCAUUUGGUAGCAUAUUAAAUUGACUUUGCGUUUAUUUUGCAGGUACACAUUGACUGCUUGAGGUGCAGGGCAGUGGAGAAGCAGUCCUUGUAUGUCCCCAAGUACCUUGCAAAGCAGCUUUUGGGUUGUGCAGCCCCAGAUUCCCUCAGACUGCAGGAGUAUGUGACCUCUAAUAGAAAUUGGUAACUGAAUUCAGCUGAAGUCUAAUACCUGAAUUUUGGGCAAAUAUCUGAGGCUCCUCACAGCUCUGAUCGGAGGAGUACACUGCUAACAAUUCCUCUAUUCAGAUACUUUUUCCCAAACCAGCCUCCAAGCCAUCUGCUUCUGCUCCCUCUCCAUUGUGUUUUUUUGUUCUAUCACAGAUCAGGAGCCCUACACUUUUCCUUUUAUCUCACCCCGGGGCUAGAAAAUGGAAAUUGUGAGAGAAAUAGGGGAGGGGAGUUCAUUUUCACCCAGGCUCAAAAACACUGAGGAGCAGAUCAUUGUUUAGCUUUUUAAGUAUUCACCACAAUUGUGUAUUUUUUUUAAAAGAUUCUGGAUCACAAAAGAGGAUCCUCCUUGCCCAGAGUCCAGGCUUAGGGUUCACUGGUGGAAGGCUGAUGUCCACAUUGACUCUCUUGUAAUGAAGUAAGUUUGCAAAUAAAGGUUAUGACUGGACCCCUCUCUCUCUGGUU
Molecule: long non-coding RNA, 2169 nt
Filed under: Chrysemys picta bellii (western painted turtle)
Lineage: Eukaryota; Metazoa; Chordata; Testudines; Emydidae
Description: lncRNA (ENSCPBG00000002400.1)
Source: RNAcentral